Chrysemys picta bellii (western painted turtle) is the source of this 1501-nucleotide RNA transcript. RefSeq lists it as uncharacterized. The record is from RefSeq and is a predicted model, not a curated record. Lineage: Eukaryota; Metazoa; Chordata; Testudines; Emydidae.
GCAGGCGGGCGGAGGGAGCGGGGCGGGGUUUCCUGCUCGCUCCGAGGCCGAGACCAGCGGGGGCGUCGUCUGCGCGUUCUUGGGGCAGCAGUUCAAAACAAGAGGAUGCUAGUAGGCUUGACAGUUAUAGGAGGAGGUAUGAAGUGACUUUUAGUUCAAAGCAAAGCAUCACAUCGGCAGAACCAGAGCAGUGCAAGACCUAGACUGCGUUCCAGUCUACAUUUGAAAUCUCCAGAUUCCCUGGAACAACAGGUUCAAACUCUGGCAAGCAGUGACUCAGCUCUUCAGCUUCCCAUGGCAGCUCGCUGAAGACUACUGGCUGCUUUUCAGCUACAAAUGACAGUAAGCCAUUAGUUCUGGAUAACCCUGUUAAGCACCAUGCACAAUGUGGGCUCCUCCUCCUGCUCUAUGCACAAAAUUAAAUCAGCACCAACUACCAGGCACAAAGUUCUCUGACAGCUGAUCCAAGACAAAUGUUUAAGAAAAUGUACUGCUCCUGAAAGUAACUGUACUGGGUUGCCUAAUUUUUCUAGCCAUGCAAUUUGUGAAAUACAAGAUCUUAGUGUUGUAUUUACCUAAUUUCAAACAAUUCCCUCCCUCCAUCCCUGACAAAAAAAUUCUAUGUUACUGAAUAUUAACUACUAAAAGAAGGAGAUUUGGCAAUUCUUAAGUCAUUUAUAUUCAGAAACAGUGUCUAGAGCAGUGAUAGUAAAGGCAUGUCCCACAACCCAAUUCUAUUGCUAUGCAGUAAGCAAGAACAAACUAACGUGAAGAUAUUGCCCAUUAUUCAACAGCAGGAAGGAUGGCUCUAUACCAUGGUAUCAGGCCUUGCUGGAAUAUGCUCAUGCGUACUACUGACUUCCACCUGCUUUUGUGGAACAUGACUCUGCUAACCAAUACCGAAAAAUCAGUCUUCGAUUUUCCAGAGUUAAUAUACAACAACAAAUACUUGGAGGAAUGAGAAUAAAAGAAGUUAUGACACUCAUGCUCUAAAUCAUGUUACUUUUAAUACUGUUAUGCUUCUCCCCACCCUGUCAGUUCUGGCAUUAAAGGGUCAAUAUUCUCUUUAGCCUCUAGAAUUAGAGAAGAACAUGUUAUAUCAUUUCAAAGAUUAGAUGGUGGUGUACAACAUUGGUUCUAAUUCUACAAGUGCAGGAUAACAAUCAUUAAAAUCAAGUCAGAACUGAAGUGUGAGAGUGUUUUUGGAGGUAGUAACAAGUAUGAAUGGUAAUCAGAAUAAUACCAUUUUAACUUCCUUUUUCUUCCUGUGAUUGAAUUCCGUAUUUUCCUAGGGGAUAUAACAUUUGUUUGCAGCCCUAAUGGUUAACCAAAUAUUGGACAUGAAUGAUGUUGUUGAUUACUUAGAAUCCAAGUUAUUUGGAUCCCUGAAUCUAGUAUCAUGUAAUUUCUUGCAUCGUAGUACACCUAAACAUGGGAGAUUUCUAUAUUUCAUUAUAGAUUUACAUUAGUAAAUACUUUACAGAAAGCCAUGUUACUAACC